RNAcentral lists this ribosomal RNA (2894 nucleotides) under Stenotrophomonas maltophilia. RNAcentral describes it as "bacterial LSU rRNA". It matches the Rfam family "Bacterial large subunit ribosomal RNA". The record is from RNAcentral. Lineage: Bacteria; Pseudomonadati; Pseudomonadota; Gammaproteobacteria; Lysobacterales; Lysobacteraceae. RNAcentral also lists the same sequence under 1 other name.
GUUAUAUGGUCAAGCGAAUAAGCGCACACGGUGGAUGCCUUGGCGGUCAGAGGCGAUGAAGGACGUGGCAGCCUGCGAAAAGUAUCGGGGAGCUGGCAACAAGCUUUGAUCCGGUAAUGUCCGAAUGGGGAAACCCACCCGCUUGCGGGUAUCCUGCAGUGAAUACAUAGCUGCUGGAAGCGAACCUGGUGAACUGAAAUAUCUAAGUAACCAGAGGAAAAGAAAUCAACCGAGAUUCCGUAAGUAGCGACGAGCGAACGCGGACUAGCCCUUAAGCUGAUUUGGUUCUAGGAAAACGCUCUGGAAAGAGUGGCCAUAGAAGGUGAUAGCCCUGUAUCUGAAAGGGCCAUUUCAGUGAAGACGAGUAGGGCGGGGCACGUGAAACCCUGUCUGAACAUGGGGGGACCAUCCUCCAAGGCUAAAUACUACUGACCGACCGAUAGUGAACCAGUACCGUGAGGGAAAGGCGAAAAGAACCCCGGAGAGGGGAGUGAAAUAGAACCUGAAACCGUGUGCGUACAAGCAGUAGGAGCUCCGCAAGGAGUGACUGCGUACCUUUUGUAUAAUGGGUCAGCGACUUACUGUUCGUGGCAAGCUUAACCGUAUAGGGGAGGCGAAGGGAAACCGAGUCUGAUAAGGGCGCAUAGUCGCGGGCAGUAGACCCGAAACCGGGUGAUCUAGUCAUGCCCAGGGUGAAGGUGCGGUAACACGCACUGGAGGCCCGAACCCACUCCCGUUGCAAAGGUAGGGGAUGAGGUGUGAUUAGGAGUGAAAAGCUAAUCGAACCCGGAGAUAGCUGGUUCUCCUCGAAAGCUAUUUAGGUAGCGCCUCAUAUGUAUCCUCUCGGGGGUAGAGCACUGUUAUGGCUAGGGGGUCAUCGCGACUUACCAAACCAUUGCAAACUCCGAAUACCGAGACGGACUGUAUGGGAGACACACGGCGGGUGCUAACGUCCGUCGUGAAAAGGGAAACAACCCAGACCCACAGCUAAGGUCCCAAAUUUUGUGCUAAGUGGAAAACCAUGUGGAAAGGCACAGACAGCCAGGAGGUUGGCUUAGAAGCAGCCACCCUUUAAAGAAAGCGUAAUAGCUCACUGGUCGAGUCGGUCUGCGGGGAAGAUUUAACGGGGCUAAGCACAGAACCGAAGCUUGGGGUGCAUAACUUUGUUAUGCGCGGUAGAGGAGCGUUCCGUAAGCCGUUGAAGGUGGAUUGAGAAGUCUGCUGGAGGUAUCGGAAGUGCGAAUGCUGACAUGAGUAACGAUAAUGCGGGUGAAAAACCCGCACGCCGAAAGCCCAAGGUUUCCUUGCGCAACGUUAAUCGGCGCAGGGUGAGUCGGCCCCUAAGGCGAGGACGAAAGUCGUAGUCGAUGGGAAGCAGGUUAAUAUUCCUGCACCUCGCGUAAGUGCGAUGGAGGGACGGAGAAGGUUAGGUGUACCAGGCGUUGGUUGUCCUGGGGAAAGGCGGUAGGUUUGGAUCUUUGGCAAAUCCGGGAUCCUCUAAGACCGAGCACCGAGACGAGCCUUUAUGGCAAAGUCACUGAUACCACGCUUCCAGGAAAAGCUCCUAAGCUUCAGCUUACGCAGACCGUACCGUAAACCGACACAGGUGGGUAGGAUGAGAAUUCUCAGGCGCUUGAGAGAACUCGGGUGAAGGAACUAGGCAACAUGGCACCGUAACUUCGGGAGAAGGUGCACCCUUUUUGGUGGCUCGUGCGAGCUAUAGCUGAAGAGGGUCGCAGUAACCAGGCCGCUGCGACUGUUUAUCAAAAACACAGCACUCUGCAAACACGAAAGUGGACGUAUAGGGUGUGACGCCUGCCCGGUGCUGGAAGGUUAAUUGAUGGGGUCAGCCGCAAGGCGAAGCUCUUGAUCGAAGCCCCAGUAAACGGCGGCCGUAACUAUAACGGUCCUAAGGUAGCGAAAUUCCUUGUCGGGUAAGUUCCGACCUGCACGAAUGGCGUAACGACAGCGGCGCUGUCUCCACCCGAGACUCAGUGAAAUUGAAAUCGCUGUGAAGAUGCAGCGUUCCCGUGGCAAGACGGAAAGACCCCGUGAACCUUUACUAUAGCUUUACACUGAACGUUGAGUUCGUCUGUGUAGGAUAGGUGGGAGGCUAUGAAACCAUGGCGCUAGCUGUGGUGGAGCCAUCCUUGAAAUACCACCCUGUCGUGCUUGACGUUCUAACCUGGGCCCAUUAUCUGGGUCGGGGACCGUGUAUGGUGGGUAGUUUGACUGGGGCGGUCUCCUCCUAAAGAGUAACGGAGGAGCUCGAAGGUACGCUCAGCGCGGUCGGACAUCGCGCACUGUGUGCAAAGGCAUAAGCGUGCUUGACUGCAAGAUCGACGGAUCAAGCAGGUAGGAAACUAGGACUUAGUGAUCCGGUGGUUCUGUAUGGAAGGGCCAUCGCUCAACGGAUAAAAGGUACUCCGGGGAUAACAGGCUGAUACCGCCCAAGAGUUCAUAUCGACGGCGGUGUUUGGCACCUCGAUGUCGGCUCAUCACAUCCUGGGGCUGUAGUCGGUCCCAAGGGUAUGGCUGUUCGCCAUUUAAAGUGGUACGCGAGCUGGGUUCAGAACGUCGUGAGACAGUUCGGUCCCUAUCUGCCAUGGGCGUUGGAGAUUUGAGAGGGGCUGCUCCUAGUACGAGAGGACCGGAGUGGACGAACCUCUGGUGUUCCGGUUGUCACGCCAGUGGCAUUGCCGGGUAGCUAUGUUCGGAAGCGAUAACCGCUGAAAGCAUCUAAGCGGGAAGCGCGCCUCAAGAUGAGAUCUCCCGGGGCACAAGCCCCCUGAAGGAACCAUGUAGACUACGUGGUUGAUAGGUCAGGUGUGUAAGUACAGCAAUGUAUUGAGCUAACUGAUACUAAUGAUCCGUGCGGCUUGACCAUAUAACCU